This is a long non-coding RNA of Empidonax traillii (willow flycatcher), 319 nucleotides long. RefSeq lists it as uncharacterized. The record is from RefSeq and is a predicted model, not a curated record. NCBI's taxonomy places the organism in Eukaryota, Metazoa, Chordata, Aves, Passeriformes, Tyrannidae. The transcript has 3 exons.
GUAACAGCGUGUUAGUACUACAGGAUGAAAGGAAUAUCAGAAUCACUGCUGCCAUGAUGCAGCAAGACAAGUGCCUGAGUCCCAUGGAUCUACUUGAAUCCUUGCUGAGGUCAGAAGAACAGGGCAGCGGAAGAUGCAAAGCCAUUGGAAGAGUACAUAAAGAGCUUGAAGAAUUAACUUCUGAAUCCAGUCAACCAAUAAAGUAGAGAAAAAAUAUGAAACCAAUCUUCUAGUCUGAUUUCAGCAGGGAGUGGACUCAAAAUAUUCCAGAUUCCAGAUUCAUUUCAAAGAUCUUGAUUCCCAUGACUUCCCUGGAGCC